Molecule: long non-coding RNA, 5235 nt
Organism: Mustela erminea (ermine)
Lineage: Eukaryota; Metazoa; Chordata; Mammalia; Carnivora; Mustelidae
Exons: 4
Source: RefSeq, a predicted model, not a curated record
UUUUCUAGAAGGCCACUGGAUUCCCUACUGGAGCCCAAGAAGGAGCAAAAAGGCCCCUCUGACUUCCAGCCACAUGUUUGGCCACCUGUUACGAAAGCCUGCCCCUGAGAUGCUCAUCUCCUGAUGCCUGCCAGGGGGACCCUUCCCCUGCCUCCCCUGCCCCCCCUCCCCCGCCGCCCCCGGCAGCUGCUGGCGUAAUGACAGGUCAGCUCACAGGUGAGGCUGUGGGCUGAGUGGCUAUUGUUUAUCCCAGUUUCAAUUUCAUCGUCAUGACAACCCACACAUGUCAUUGUCCAAGCCGGUGCCUCCACACUGAAGGCAUGUGAGGAACUGUGGUCCGGGCUCGUGCCCCCCACCCCCGCUGCCACCGCCCCCCAGAGGGUCGAGGACCCAUCUGCACACUCGUGGGGCUGCUCCUUUCUCUGCUCCUUGUGUUCAGGGUGACCUUAUUUUCUCUACCACUUACCCAGAAAUUGUUCUUGAAAAGUGUCUCAUUUCCACUGAAUUUGGCCCAGAAUGAUUGGGGCCGUUGCUGGGCCUGGAUCUGAUCUCUCUCGUCAGCAGUCUUGCAGACUCUCUGGGUGCCGCCGGGUCCUGCACGGCUGUGACCGCUGGAUGAGGCGGCGGGGGGGGGGGCAGGCAAUGGGUGGGAAAUACGCCUGCUUCCCUCCCAGAGCCUCGGAGGAAGGCCUCCCCAAAGAGCCUGCUCCCAGAACCCAGUGAGGGACAUCUCCACCUGGAAACCUGCCUUCGCCUGGCUUCCCAGCUACAGGGUGCCCCUCCUAGAAGAUUUCAAGAGACAGAUGGCUGCUGUUUCUGUUUUGCUCUACUGCUUUGAGGAAUCCUUGAGUCUGUGCGGGGCUGUUUAGACACCAGCUCUGGAUGUUAACAUCGGUGAGCCUUGAAAGAAUUGCUCGGGCAGAGUGGGACGUGUGUCUACUGAAUUCCUCUUUUGAGUCGUCACGUACUUUAUGGUUCUGAAAGCAGACGUUCCUUUGAUUUAGGGAGCAGGCUCAGAAAGGGACUCUUUUUUUUGUGUUGGCUCACUGAUGAGUCUUUGGGGAGGAGGCCUUGGCCAGGAUUUCCCGUGAUGGAGGGUUACGAGGCAGGCCUUUAUAGGGAAGGAAGCCUAUCUGCCCCCUGAAAAGCCUUCUAUUGGAGGUAGCUUCCCUUGCGGCUAGAGGGUCACCUGCUGUGACCAAAUUGAUGGCUUAUUUGCUUGAGUAUCAUGGUGCAGGACACACACACACACACACACACACACACACACACAUAUGAUAUUGGGAUUGCUUUGCUUGAAAGAGGCCAGAGGGACUGAGCUGCUAAUUGAGCCUCCAAAUCAAGAAAGGUUAUUACAGAGACAGGUGGACCCACUGCCCUGGGAAAUGGGGAAAUGCUGAGGUUAGGCACAUGUGUCUCGGCCCCUCUGUCAUCAUGGGGAAUGGGACAGGAUUGAGCUAGGCUAGGCGGCCAGAGAGAGCAAAAGGCAGGCAGGGGUCGGGAGCCAGGAGCUGAGCUAAGCCAAGGAUAGGUGGAACCCUGUUAGAAGAUGAUCAGAUGGGGGAGGGAACCCUGUUAGAAGGUAGUCAGAUGGGGCCAGGCCGUUCCGGUGGGUGAGGCUAGGAGCCCGUAGUGUUCCCCUUCGUCACCGUCAUUCAUUCUGUGGCUAUUUUGGUGUAUCGCGAUGUGCCAGGCGCUCUUCUAGAUGUCAUGAGGGAGUGGUCAGUGAAACAGGCAAAAAUUCCAACCAUAAGAGCUUCACUUUCUACUGGGAAGCCCAGCAGACAAGCGGAUCAUUUCAACACCUAGUGCCUCAGCUGGGAAAUGAGGUCUGCACUAGGGGAGGAGCAUAGGGAGUGCAGGGGUGUUGCAAUUUUAAAUUGGGGGGCAGGGCUGGGCUUUGUGAAAGGACGGUGCUUCAGCAGACUACAGGAGGUGAGGGCUAGAGCCCUGGGGAUAUCUGGGCGAAGCAGACCUGGGCAGAGGGAACAGCAAGCUCGAAGCACCCAGGCCUGGCGAGUUGGGGGCGGGCAGGCGGGAGGCCUGCUUGGCUGGGAUGAGGCCACAAACUGGGGGAGCCACAAGGGAUGCUGUCCAAGAAUUAAUGGGGCCAAGAAAUGAUGUCCAAGAAAUGGAAAGCCAUAGGGAGGUUUGACAGAGGAGAGCUCUUCUAGGAUCCUAGGGGCCACUGUGUUGAGAAUACAUCGAAUUUCGACUAGGUCCUCACUCUGUCCUUGUCCCAGGACUGGAAAAGGUGCCUAUGAUUACCAGAUGAUCUAAACUCUGCUAGGAUUGGAACAUUUAUAGGAAAACACUGAACUGAACACGUCACACGUUUGUACCCAUGAGCGAAGAGGCUGACUUGGCCCAAUCUUGGUACGACCCUCACCCCAUCUCCUGUCCCCUCCAUAAGGUUGCCAGCCACGGGCAGCUUGGAAAGCCAGGCUCUGGCCCUGGUCAGGUUCUCUCAAGUCCUACAGGCUGUCUUUGGCCCUGCCGCCAUCUCCUAUCCCUGGCCACUCCACCACAUAGACACUGUUGCUCUCCCCGGAGGCCUAGAUCACAGCUCCCCCUUCUGAACUGGAGGGAUCCGAGCAGAACUGCUGUGUCUAACUCAGAUUGGUUCGAGGUCUGAGGCUUCCAGCUCUCUGACCUUCAACUGACUUCCAUGGCCCAACCAAGACUGACUCAGAGCAGCCCAGCCCCAGGGGUUAGCCGUUCCUCUGGUCUCCCUGGCUUCCUUGGGAGUGUUAAUACAAGAGUCCCUGAACUUGCCUAUCAGAUUGGAGUGCUCAUUGCUUCUUCCAUGAUCCAGAAAACCAAGAAUGUCCGGCAUCCUGCUCAAUGAGAAGAACAAGUCAGCCGCGGGGGUGGGAACAUGUCCAUCCCCAUGGGUGGUCCAGAAAAUUGGCCCUGUGGGUCUCAGUGCUGUGAGAGGACAGCUGGGCCCAUAUGACCCAGGGUCCAUUCCCCUCCAACAUUUAAAGUUUCUGUGUGAUGUCACUAGCUGGUGCCCCGUGAGUGGGAACUUACUCUCUUUGCCUUACAGGGAUGGGUUUGGGAUGUACUUACGGAUGCUCCUAACUGAAUUUCUUCCACACCACUGAUGACAGGCUUUGUGGGUUACUGACUAAAGACAGAUCUGAGCUGGCAGAAUCAAAGGAAGUGGGUUUAGGAAAAGAUCCAAAUUACAUUGAGGGAGAGCCCACUGCUGUUCCAAGCAGUCAAAUACCCCUUUUUGAUUGAAAACUCUUGUUAUUAAAAAUGCAUUUAAAAAAAUGAAAUCGAAAGCAAAUCCUUUCAAAUAAGAUUUUAGCCUUAUCUCAAAUCCAGGGUUUUUGGUUUUUUUUUUUGAAGUUCUACCUUCUCACACUCCGUACAGAGCUCUGCUGGGAAGACCACAGACCAUAGCCGCCCAUCCUCCACGCAUGCUGACUCAGGAAAGCAAGGAUCCCUCAUGUUCCCCGAGACAGGCGUGCAGUGUGUCUCCCUUGGGCUACUUUCUAGGCUGCUUGUGUGCAGGAGGCGGUCAUCUAGACUGUGUUAAAUGUUGUCCCACCAAAAUUCCCACUUCCCUCAGGGCUGAAGCCUGGACUCAUGCGGAACCCGGACUCCGGCAGUGGAAAGAGAAAGGAGCCUGUGAAGUAGGCCGGCCAAGACAGUGUUAACAUGAAUCCUACUUAAUUCCAAUUCCACGAUGAAAGGCUCACUUUGAGACUUGAUUGAGGAUGGUAGCGCCCACUGUGGAGACUUUCCCCUUUGUAAGCUAAAUGCACAUCAUGGGCAACGGGACAUUCUGAGCAUCUUGGCCUCGGCUGGGACGCGGUGCCACCGCCCCUCCUUUUGGAGGAGGAUGGAGGCAAACACAGCCAAUGGACGGGGGAGCUAGAGGAAGCCGUGUGGGGGAUGAGACCCAAAGGAAGGCAGAUCACGUGAGAGAAUGUCAGAGGCACUCCACGAACCCACCCGCGUGAGAAAGGUUCGGGAACGGUAAGCCAGACUCGGGCUCCGGUCCUGCACCUCAGAGGGGAGGGUUAACGCUUCGAUCUUCCUGCCCCCGCCCCUUGCUGACGUGUGUGAUUUGAGAUAAAGGAGCGAUGCAUGCCCUUGAACGGAAAUAUCCGUAGCCCGUGGGAGCUCAGGAACCCUUGCCGUGUGACCUCCCGAGACUGAGCGAGCAGACACGUUCGCCCUGUUUGCAAAGUCAGCGUUGCCACUGCGGGAGAAGCAGGGGCGGGUUGCGCAUCCGAGCAGGGACUGUCCUGGACUGGACUGUGAGCUCUGGCACGGCCACCCAGGAUGGGGGCCGUGGUGGAGGCCGUCCCCCGCCCCUGUCCAGGGGAACGGAAUUGCUGCUUGACUAACUGGAGAACAUUUAUCUUCCUCUCUGUGCGGGAGCAUUUCCCUUCUCACUUGGUGAGAGCUUCAGUACUGAGUUUCGGCUUCCCCAGUGCUGGCAGAAUCAGGGGCCGCCUUCCCUGUCUCUGGCCUAUGCCUUCACUCCAGUGUCAGUGGACUUGGCCGUAUCAAGGUACUCACAGUAGAAAGAAGCCCAGGAAGUAAUGCCUCAGGGGUGCUGCUGGCCCUGGCACUUGGGUGGUGGGUGCAGAGAACAAGGCCGGAGUGGCUCUGAGCCCAUGUGGGACUACCCCGUAGAGUCUCAGCGCUCCAUGGGAGCAGUGGCACCCUAAGAGACUGACCUUUGUGCCACUGCACAGCUGGGAGCUUGGAGCCUUGAGAUGUGGGCAUUCAGGUUAGUGGAACCAUCUCUUGACCUCCUGAACGAGGAAGCCUGUGACAUGUGGCCUGUGCUUGGAUGUGGAAUCACCACAGACACCGCCGAUUCUCCUCCUUUGUCCAGGCAGCCUGCCUGACAGAUGGACGGUCUGCAUCACGCUAAUUAGUGUUUGCUCCUCUGCUCCUGGGUGCGUGCCUUAUGCCCUCCCUCCUGUGCUUGCCCGUGCCCUUGAAGGCAGGGGCUGUCUCUUCCCUCCCCCUGUCUCCCUGCAACGUGUGUCUGAACUCAGGGGUAGUCGGGCCCUGGGGUUCACGAAGGUCCCCUUGUGCUCAUUACUCCUGCUAACAGGUGCUCAGCUCAGGGCCUGUGGUCUUGGAUUCCAGGGGGCCUGACCUGAGCUGGAGAGGUAGGGAAUGGGGUACAAGGCUCCUAUGCCAUGCCCCGUCUUCACAGAGACCUCCCCGCCCCCGCCCCAGAGGAAACAGCACCCCUGUCAC